GAUGAACGCUAGCGGGAGGCUUAACACAUGCAAGUCGAGGGGCAUCACGAGGUAGCAAUACUUUGGUGGCGACCGGCGCACGGGUGAGUAACACGUAUGCAACCUUCCCUGUACAGGGGGAUAACCCGGAGAAAUUCGGACUAAUACCCCAUGAUGAUAUUAUGGGGCAUCCUUUAAUAUUUAAAGCUCUGGCGGUACAGGAUGGGCAUGCGCGACAUUAGCUAGUUGGUAAGGUAACGGCUUACCAAGGCGACGAUGUUUAGGGGACCUGAGAGGGUUGUCCCCCACACUGGUACUGAGACACGGACCAGACUCCUACGGGAGGCAGCAGUGAGGAAUAUUGGUCAAUGGGCGCAAGCCUGAACCAGCCCAUCCCGCGUGAAGGAGAAUGCGCUAACGCGUUGUAAACUUCUUUUCCAGGGGUAGAAUAAUCCUGUCGUGACAGGGACCUUGACGGUUACUCUGGGAAUUAAGCAAUCGGCUAACUCCGUGCCCAGGCAGCCGCGGUAAA
RNAcentral lists this ribosomal RNA (511 nucleotides) under uncultured bacterium. Its description in RNAcentral is "bacterial SSU rRNA". It matches the Rfam family "Bacterial small subunit ribosomal RNA", at positions 28 to 524 of the family's 1533-position model. The record is from RNAcentral.